UUACACAGGUUUUCGCUUGAGAACACGGUUUCCAUGAUACUUGGUGGCCUGUACAACAGGAACCGGAAAUUUAUUACGCCAGGAACACGCCAGCAAUACGCCGGCUUAAAAACAUCAAACUUCUGCGCGUAUUCGGCGUAAUAAUACGCGUGUAUUCCAGGCGUAUUAAUACGCAAUGCGGUAGCAACCCUGGCUCGGCCCCCCGAAUGGCGCUUCGCGCCCGGGGCCUCGCCCCAAAAAAGGACCGUCAAACUUGUCAGCACAUUUGCCUAUUCUCGCAGAGAAAGUUAGGUAGCUAGGUGCUCAAACCGUGAGCGAAACAUCUCAGAAAUUGCCUUCGCAAGGCCACGCUGAUCAUCCACUUGGAUGCUAUCACGAAUAUCCGCGUUGACGGGCACACCGAGGUCCCAGAGCUUCUGUCGUGCAGACACAAUCGCCGGGCAUUCUAUCAAAAAAUGUUUCUCAUCCUCAAUAGCUGUUACGACACACUCCCUAGCCCUGUUGCUCUCACUGUUAACCUGUUGUAAGCUUCAGACGACACAACCACAACAAUGGUGGUCUCGAAAGAUACCGAAUGAGACAAGUGCCUUGGAUAAAUAGUCAUCAGUGACUCCACUUGGGCCUCGCGCCGAUAAGUCCCCAGUACGACAGGGCGACGCGUAUCCAGAAGUCAUAGCUCGCAGGAACUACUCUCGCUCAGUCAGACGAAACAGGGACGCAGGUCCCAGCUUUACACAGGUAAAACCCCCGCCCAUACGCAGGUACGGACUUCCGCAGCGGUGCGGCAUUCAGGUGGCGCACGACUAUCAGUAGUCGCUUUAGCCGCCGCAGCUAACAGUAGCCGCAAGUAAACUAAUAUCAAUAUUAGAUAGACCUGUAAUCACUGGCAGCGGAUAUAUGCGGGCAUUAGUUAGUAACAGUGAAGUUCAAUAAAUGGGACCGGACGAGCUAACUGCCGAUAGUUAGGAUUCGGAGCCGCAAACCGUGCAGAAAGCUUUACAGGAUUUACAGGAUACAACUACUAUUUUCCCCCCUAGAUGCGACGUCCCGUUGCAUAUGGAUCACUGUGCAAAACAAGAUUGGCCAUACCUGCUAACGCGCUGCAACCUUGGACUGAGCAUGCAGACGAACCCCAUCAAGCAACGGUCUAAGAUCCGGGGUGAAGUUGCGCGCUGGUUCCCAGCUAUUGUGUUCGGACGAUUACCCUACCCACUUGACUAAGUACUCGUGAACAGUGUGCUUGCGCCUAGCCUUACCCACGCGCCGGGUCCGAUAGUCCUAAAUACGUUCAACGGCAUACAUGGUUUGCUUACCAGACAACCAAGUGGUGAGCGCAGCCUCUGUAGCAGUAGGAGGCACAGGCGCUGCCGGAAUGGGUACAGACCCAUGAUAUGGACGGACCAAAGACACGUGGAAGGUAGGAUGAACACGCAUUUCAGAAGACAGUUCGAGUUGUACAGCAACCG
Molecule: long non-coding RNA, 1466 nt
Filed under: Volvox carteri
Lineage: Eukaryota; Viridiplantae; Chlorophyta; Chlorophyceae; Chlamydomonadales; Volvocaceae
Description: long non-coding RNA (VCAR_LNC003230)
Source: RNAcentral